This 468-nucleotide ribosomal RNA is filed under the name uncultured bacterium. Its description in RNAcentral is "partial 16S ribosomal RNA". It matches the Rfam family "Bacterial small subunit ribosomal RNA", at positions 28 to 507 of the family's 1533-position model. The record is from RNAcentral.
GACGAACGCUGGCGGCGUGCUUAACACAUGCAAGUCGAACGGAAAGGCCCUGCUUUUGUUGGGUGCUCGAGUGGCGAACGGGUGAGUAACACGUGAGUAACCUGCCCGUUACUUUGGGAUAACUUCAGGAAACUGUGGCUAAUACCGGAUAGGAGCUCCUGCUGCAUGGUGUUGGUUGGAAAGUUUCGGCGGUUGGGGAUGGACUCGCGGCUUAUUAGCUUGUUGGUGGGGUAGUGGCUUACCAAGGCUUUGACGGGUAGCCGGCCUGAGAGGGUGACCGGCCACAUUGGGACUGGGAUACGGGCCAGACUGCUACGGGGGGCAGCAGUGGAGAAUAUUGCAAGAUGGGCGGAAGGCUGAUGGAGCAACGCCGCGUGGGGGAUGACGGCUGUCGGGGUGUAAACAGCGUUCGCGUGUGACGAAGCGUGAGUGACGGUAAUGGGUAAAGAAGCACCGGCUAACUACGUG